Molecule: non-coding RNA, 2235 nt
Organism: Carica papaya (papaya)
Lineage: Eukaryota; Viridiplantae; Streptophyta; Magnoliopsida; Brassicales; Caricaceae
Source: RefSeq, a predicted model, not a curated record
AAAUGGGAAGAUGUUGAAGAAGUUCGGAGAACUAUGAGACACCGAGGAGUGAGAAAAGAACCAGGGUGCAGUUGGAUUGAAGUGAAUAAGCAAAUCCAUACCUUUAUUGUGGGUGAUGAUUCACACCCACAAAUAGAUAAUAUUAAGAAACAGCUCAACCAGUUGAUUCAUGGAUUAAUUAGCAUGGGCUAUGUUCCAGACACAAAUUUUGUCUUACACGACCUUGAGGGAGAAGAAAGGGAGGAUUCAUUGAGAUACCAUAGUGAGAAAUUUGCAAUUGCCUUUGGAAUAAUGAGCUUGUCCAAGGGGAAAACUAUUCGGAUCAGAAAAAACCUUAGGAUAUGUGGGGACUGUCAUAUUUUUGCUAAACUCACAUCAAAGCUAGAAAAACGCACCAUUGUGAUAAGAGAUCCCAUUCGCUACCAUCAUUUCCACAAUGGAAUGUGCUCCUGCAGGGACUACUGGUAGCUCUAACACAUUGUAAACAUGUUCGAAUUUUAUGUUUGGAGGCUUGCGAUGUGGUGGUAUUCUUUCGCUGCUUCUUUACAAUUAUAACACGGCAGAGCUAAAUGGAGAAAGAAAAAAUGGGAACAGUGUAAAUCUUUAUGACAAAAACAUGCAAGUUAAUAAUUGCAAUGCCUCUGUACAUACCCAAGAAUCCUUUGUCCUUCUCUCCAUCUUCCUCUUAGAGCUCCCUUUCUUUUUUUUCCCUUGUCUCAGGUUUCCAUAGCCGUCACAGAACAAUCUCUCACUUCUCUAUUCUGAUAUUUAUUGUAAAAUGAUUUUUUUGAGAGGAAAAAAGAAUUUCCAUAAAAAUCCUUUACACAAAAUACAACAUAUAUAUGCUGUUCCCAAGAUCACUUCAUGGACAGAUAACCUUUCAACAAAAUAUUACUAUGAGCCUGGUUUUGUUAUAGUUGAGAAUUCCAUUAGUUUUCAUACUAUCCUGCAUUUGCAAUUCUCUGUUUUGAUUUUCUGUUUGAUGCAUCCCCAGGUAAAGUGACUGCUAUUCUUUUAUUUGCAGUUUACUUUGAAAGAGAAGUCUGAUAAACAUUUAUCGUAGUGGCUUUUUCUUCUUGAUCAUUUUUUGCAUCUUGUUUCCGAUCAUGAUAACAGGGACGUUAUUUAUGUUUAUACUCUCAGUUGAAGACUUUGAUUCAAGUGUCGGUAUCUGCCCAUCUUUAAGUUCUGGAAUCAACAAUCUCUAAUUCCUUUUGAGAUCACCCCAUGCCAACACCUCAUCUGUUGCAGAACUGGAGACAGCACAAGAAAGAUUUAGAUAUAAAGGGCAGCCAACAAUAACUUUGUCUCUUACUUGAACAAUCUUCUUCUACAACCCCUUGAACUACCCGGCGCCAACAAGUCAUCUGUUACAGAAUUAGGGACAACACAAGAAAGGUUUAGGUGAGUGACCUUCUAACUUCUAUGCAUUAAAGAAGAAAAUGACUGAGGGAUUCUUCUUCCUGCAGACAUAAAUGGCAGCCAACAAUAACUUUAUCCUCUUAUCUAGUUGUCCAUAGUUAGGUUUCUACCCCAAGCCGCUUCCCAAGCAAAGAAGCAAUAUGUCAGGAGGCCUUCUUCUAUUCUAAUAUUUCUGUCGUGUUUCCAGAACACCAUAAAAGUGGACAUUAGCUUCAUUUCUAGAUUGAGUUCCUCUUGCUGGUGUAUUUAGUCCAGGCCUCCAUCUGCCAACCACAUCCAUAUGAGUUGGAAUUGCUGAUCCAGUUCCAGCUGAAAUUUUAUAAGAUCUCUCUAUCUCCCACCUUUUCCCCCAACCUUGCCCCACCACUUAGCAGCAGCAGGAGACAGUCAGACUCCUUACGGAUUGUAAGCAGACCUCUGGGUAAGACCUUAUUUCUCACUUCUCAUCAACAUGAUCUGAAAUUCAAACAACUUGCGAUCUCCUAAGCAAAGUUGCUAUUCGGUUGACUCUUCUUUCAAAGGUUGGUUUAUUUUUGCAAAUUAUGAUGAUAAUCUUGCUAGAGAAGAAAUGGGAAAUGUUUGUAAGAAUACCUGUCAAAGUUGUGACAGCUUGGUGACUCUAUGACUUUUACUAUUCGUUUUACUACGCUUGAGGGUACCAUGGCGGAAUAGUUGGUUUUUGGCAUGUGAUUUGCAUCUUCUUUGAUAUUUUGGAUGUUAUUAAGUGACUACUUUUCCUCUAAAGACAUAUUUUAUGUAAUAUGAUAAAAUGUUAAUGAUAAAUUGGUUUACAAUAGUGAGAAGUUAGUCAAA